Long non-coding RNA from Pseudopipra pipra, 2463 nucleotides. RefSeq lists it as uncharacterized. The transcript is spliced from 4 exons. Lineage: Eukaryota; Metazoa; Chordata; Aves; Passeriformes; Pipridae. The record is from RefSeq and is a predicted model, not a curated record.
GAACUUGUGUCAGGAUGACAUUUUCAAAGUUGUGGUGGGUUGAACUUGGCUGGCUGCCUGAUUCCCACUCCAAACAGAGAGCAUCUCUGACUCUCCCUCCUCAACAGGACAGGGGGAGAAACAAUGGAAAAGCUUAUGGGCUGAGAUAAAGACAGGUAGAUCGUUUAGCAAGUAGCAUCACAGGCAAAAAAGACUUGACUUGUGGAAAAUUAUCUUCUUUUAUUGCUGAUUAAAAACAGAGUAAGACGACUUCUCCCCUGUUCCAGUAUGGGAUUUCAACAGGCUGCAGCUUCCUUCAGGACAUAUCCACCUGCUCAGCGUGGGGUACUCCAUGGGCUACUCAUCUGCUCUGAGACAGUCCUCCAUGGGCUGCAGCAAGACUAGACAGGUAACAGUGAACAACAAGAUGGGAGUCAUCCAACACUGUAUUGAACCAGCGCCGUGUGGGAAGCAAAGCCUGUGGUAAACAACCUCACGUUAAUACAAGCAACUCUUCAAAAGGAUCAUCUGAGAAUCAAAAUAAAGUGGAAACUGAGGAAAUCAUCUGAUUUUCGGUAGCUCAGCCAGCUCCUUUUGCAAACACAUACUUAAGGAUUAAAAUUUAUACCCUAAAAAAAUGCACAAAUAAAAUAAUGCAAAUUUGUAUGCCAGAAAGAUAAUGUUUUCCUUUAUGUCAAUAGAAUACGAGUGCAGUGCAUUAGCAGUACAAAUGGGAGACACCAUGCUUAGGAACAGUUUUUUACUUUUCAUAUAGCAGUGGCCACAUAAUUCUCUGUUUCCCUUCCUUCACUUUGCCAGCAAGGGACAUUCAAGUGCCAUGGGCAAAGCUGGACAGUCACCAUAUCCAUAUGCUCUUACUACCCUACACACCCAGAUGACUUUCAGUGGAGAAUGACAGGCCACAGUCUACAUCAUCACCGGUCAGCUUCUUGCAUCUUCAUGCACUCACAUCCUCAGGCACUAUGUUGCAUGCCAAGGCAGCACACGUGCAACAACCACCUCCGUGACUCUUGGACUAGAAGUCACAUAUGGGAUUUCACAGAUCCAUACAGUUCAGCACCAGGGACACUGGAAGGAUUCCAGUGAUGAGGAAACAUUUCAGCAACAUAUCCAAAUCAUGUCAGAUGCAUAACAGAGUCAAGUCACACUUUAGGAUAUCCUGGAAGCAGACAGGAACUGGAAUGGCAGAGAAGUAAACAGCAUUCAGAGACCUGUGAUAACUCAGGACAGAUAUAAUGACACUUUUAUGUUAGAACAAUAGUUUCUGAACAGGGAUAUGAUCACUUAUGAGUGAUUUUGUUGGCAUAAGACUGAUUUCUCCUUCAUUUGCAUGGACUUUGAAUAUUCACCUUUUUAACAGAUGCUAAAAAAAUGCCGUUUAAAAGCUGCUUGACAGAACUAGUCAUUACAUGAAAAAGUACAAAAGUACAGUUAAUUUGCUUAACCUGGAUAAAGUGCAUUACAUGAGAGCAUAGUCACUUUUGUAAUUUCAAUUUUCCUUAUGAUAACUGCCUCUCAGACACAUCUCAUCCACAGCCAUCAGACCAUAAAACUAGGCUAUUAAGUUAAAACUUGCACUUUAAAAAUCCACAAAACCUUGCACUAGAAAUAUGAACCGUGACCACUUUAGUUAUUUAGGAGAUCUAGGCAUUUUCAACAUUAUUACAAGGGGCCAUUAGACAGGCUGAAUCCAUAGUCUUUAUUGAUUUAAGAGUCAUUCAACUGUACUUAGAAAAGUGUUACUCAAAUGAGCUACUAUUGCAAGAUUAUGACUUUUAGAGUUUUACAUUUACACUAGAAGGCAGCCAGGAAAACUAAACAUUAGAUCCAGCCUAAGGUCUCAUUAACUUCAAUUAAGUUUCUUUUGUGUCUAUCUUCAAUUUGCCUCACUAACUUUUCUUGUUGGCUCUGGGUGAAAUAGAGCAGAUCACAGCCAAAGGAGAAACCCAGCACUCGAUGAGAAGCAGCUACAAAAGUGAUUAAACAGUUUUUCUGUGAUUUAUCAUUGUUUUUUUUCCUUUUUGAAUUUUUCUGUAGACAUAUAUAGGAACACAUAUAUGUAAGUUUUGAUUUUCUGCCAACAUUGUGCGGGGGUACAACUGCCACCCCAUUGGUCAAAUCCAGGAGAAAGUUUGGCAAGGGAGUGCCCUCUGAACCUUGUGAAGACCCUCAGCUGGAGGGUCUCCCUUAUUCCUUUUAUCCUUACUCUUUCCCAUCCUUACCCUUUUUCCAUCCCCAGCCUCCACACAGAUCAUUUUAGGUUGAUUUUAGUUGUAAAUUGAUUUAUUUUAGAUUUUAGUCUGAUUUUUCUCCAUGUGCUUUAACCAUCUAAUAAGUAGUAGAGUGAACCUUGUCAACCAAUUUUGUCGUGCCUUCACUUUUACAUUAAACCUGCUUUUAAAGAUACCUUUGCCAGUGAUUCUUUGAGCAACCUAAAACACUCAUUUAUGACACAUUGCAAUG